CUUGCGACAGCCGUGUCAGAUGGACAACUGCAGCCCUCCUCAGUUAGACCACGCCUCCGUCAGGUGUACAGGAGGAGGGGAGGCGUCUCGCUGCUCGGUCAGAUGUCACCGUGGUUUCAGUGUGACCGUCCUGAGCGGCAGAGGAAGUCCACCACACCAGAGGGAGACCAAACUGGAGUGUUUCCACGGAUCCUGGGAUCGGAUCGUCAGCUGUCAGCCCGUG
Sphaeramia orbicularis (orbiculate cardinalfish) is the source of this 223-nucleotide long non-coding RNA. RefSeq lists it as uncharacterized. The record is from RefSeq and is a predicted model, not a curated record. The transcript has 3 exons. NCBI's taxonomy places the organism in Eukaryota, Metazoa, Chordata, Actinopteri, Kurtiformes, Apogonidae.